RNAcentral lists this ribosomal RNA (170 nucleotides) under uncultured bacterium. Its description in RNAcentral is "partial 16S ribosomal RNA". It matches the Rfam family "Bacterial small subunit ribosomal RNA", at positions 1329 to 1500 of the family's 1533-position model. The record is from RNAcentral.
GAAUUGCUGUAAUGGCAGGUCAGCAUACUGCCGUGAAUACGUUCCCGGGCCUUGUACACACCGCCCGUCACACCAUGAGAGUUGGGAAUACCCGAAGCCUGUGAGCUAACUUAUAGAGGCAGCAGUCGAAGGUAGAAUCAAUGAUUGGGGUGAAGUCGUAACAAGGUAUC